GCAUCUGGGGAACGUUGGCCUCGU
Molecule: microRNA, 24 nt
Filed under: Monodelphis domestica (gray short-tailed opossum)
Lineage: Eukaryota; Metazoa; Chordata; Mammalia; Didelphimorphia; Didelphidae
Description: mdo-miR-12388-5p
Source: miRBase by way of RNAcentral